UACGUAGGGUGCGAGCGUUAAUCGGAAUUACUGGGCGUAAAGCGUGCGCAGGCGGUUCGUUGUGUCGGCGGUGAAAUCCCCGGGCUCAACCUGGGAAUGGCCGUUGAAACUGGCGAACUGGAGUGUGGCAGAGGGGGGUGGAAUUCCGCGUGUAGCAGUGAAAUGCGUAGAGAUGCGGAGGAACACCGAUGGCGAAGGCAGCCCCCUGGGCUAACACUGACGCUCAGGCACGAAAGCGUGGGGAGCAAACAGG
Molecule: ribosomal RNA, 253 nt
Filed under: uncultured bacterium
Lineage: Bacteria
Description: partial 16S ribosomal RNA
Rfam family: Bacterial small subunit ribosomal RNA
Source: RNAcentral